Molecule: ribosomal RNA, 278 nt
Filed under: uncultured bacterium
Lineage: Bacteria
Description: partial 16S ribosomal RNA
Rfam family: Bacterial small subunit ribosomal RNA
Source: RNAcentral
GACGAACGCUGGCGGCGCGCCUAAUACAUGCAAGUCGAACGGGCACACUUCGGUGUGUCAGUGGCGGACGGGUGAGUAACACGUGGGUGACCUGCCCCGCAGUACGGAAUAACCCUGGGAAACCAGGGCUAAUACCGCAUAUGCUUAGUGCUUCGCUGCAUUAAGUAAAGACUUCUCGCUGCGGGAGGGGCUUGCGGCGGAUUAGCUAGUCGGUGGGGUAAUGGCCACCGAGGCGACGAUCCGUAGCUGGUCUGAGAGGACGACCAGCCACACUGGGA